AUGCGAGGUCUGCUAGAGUUGCUCUUAGCUUUGGUGGCCGAUCUCUUCACUCCAACAUCUGGAAGUUGCGGCGGAUUGCAAGGAAGUGACGAAGGACAUCAAGGACGGAACAGGUGGGCUACGUGGGAAUAUUAUCCGGGAGAUUACAUCUUCACUUUCGGAGUUUCUUUUUCACUUUCGGAGUUUCAGUCCUGCACUUUCUCCUUCGAAGCGAUGGCAACAAAUUCCGAGGCACACGGCCUCACUAACAUGCUCUUGGACUUACUAGGAAAGACAUAUUUGGCUGUUGCAGCCUCCUGCUAUUGGUUGCAUUAA
RNAcentral lists this ribosomal RNA (315 nucleotides) under Triticum aestivum (bread wheat). RNAcentral's name for it is "partial small subunit ribosomal RNA". The record is from RNAcentral. Lineage: Eukaryota; Viridiplantae; Streptophyta; Magnoliopsida; Poales; Poaceae.